Long non-coding RNA from Stegodyphus dumicola, 286 nucleotides. The record is from RefSeq and is a predicted model, not a curated record. NCBI's taxonomy places the organism in Eukaryota, Metazoa, Arthropoda, Arachnida, Araneae, Eresidae.
AAAAAUGCCUAUGUGACUAUCACUACGAUGAAGUCGUUUCUUUUGGAGGGAAGAGUCAGCGCUCACCGAUCAUAUUCAAAGGAUAUUUACUAUGCCAUUGUUGCAACGACAGAGAAGACCAAGGAGCAGGAGAAUUCCCGAAAAGAAAGCAGGGAGACAGCAAAGUGUUGGAAAAUUACAAUUUAAAUAAAUGUUAGCAUUGAAAUAUGUUAAGUCACUGAAAUAUGUUAUGUCACUGAAAUGUGUUAUGUUUGUGAUUAAAUCAUAAUAAAUUAUGUUAGCACUA